Molecule: long non-coding RNA, 1794 nt
Organism: Meriones unguiculatus (Mongolian gerbil)
Lineage: Eukaryota; Metazoa; Chordata; Mammalia; Rodentia; Muridae
Exons: 4
Source: RefSeq, a predicted model, not a curated record
GCUCAGCGCGGAUUGGCGGUAGGGCUAAGUCCUGACGCUGAUUGGACAGCGGCGAAGUCGCUCCCGCAGACCGUAGCGUCCAGCCGCCCCGAAGCACUAAGUGUAACCUCAGACCCAGGACUGCGCCUGGUUGCCCAUAAGAGCCCCGUGAGGUGGCCUGGGCGCUCUCCCUGAGCUGGCAGCGUCACCCCAUCCCGCAUCCUCCUCCCCUGUUUUGUCUUCCAUCUCUCCCUCCUCCCUCCAGUCCGCGCCUCGCUGAAGGCUUCCGGUUACCCCCAUUCCCACCCUAUCCCUUAGUUUUAUUCUCUUGAAGAGUCUGCAUUUCAAGCUAUCAAGUUGGAGAGAUUACAGAAAGAAGUGUUGUUUCAGGAAGUCUUAAACAAGAAGUAGAAUUGUUUGUUACCAACUUGUAUCUGAAUCAAACAGUCAAAAGGUUGGGAAAAAAACAAGAAGAGAGAAGCUGACCCAUUGCAAUGUUCAUUUCUAAAAAACCAGAAGGUGGAGCAGCUGAUGUUCCAGGACUUGCUGUGCAGCUUGUGUGUAUUCGCUAUAGGUGUAAUAGAUCUAUUGAGGAGGACCUACUCUUAUGUGAACCUUUCCAGAGUAAUGCAGCUGAUGAAGAAAUAUUCAACUAUAUCAACAGCUUUAUGCAAAGACAUGAAAUUGAAUGGAAGAAAUGUGUUGAUGUUUGCAGUGAUGCUUCUAAGGCAAUGAAUGGGAAAAUUGCUGAGGCUGUCACCUUGAUAAAAUAUGUAGCUCCAGAAAGUACCAGUAGUCACUGCCUAUUAUAUCGACAUGCAUUAGCAGUUAAAAUAAUGUCUCCAUCUCUCAGAAAUGUGCCAGAUCAAGCAGUCCACGUUAUCAUCUACAUUAAAGCUCGACCACAUCCAUCCCAGUUACUAAAGUUUUGUGUGAACAAAUGGGUGCUCAGCACACAGCUCUUCUAAUACAGACGGCGGCUUUCGCCAGGUAAAGUUCUUGUAAGACUCUUUGAGCUUCAGCGUGAACUACUGUUUUUAUGGAUUCUCCUUUUCGACUGUCUGAUUGCUUAACAAAAUUGUCUUGGCUGCUAAGACUUGCAUAUCUUGCUGAUAAUUUUACUAAAUUAAAUGAGGUUAACCCAGCAAUGCAAGGAAAAAAAAUGUUACAGUGUUUACAGUGUUUGAUGAAAUGUCUUCAUUGUUAAGAAAAUUGGAGUUUUGGCCUUCAUCUAUAGGAGAAGGCUUGGGUUGUUUUCCUACACUCAGUGACUUUUUGACUGAAAUUAAUUCUACAGUUAACAAAGAUACUUGUGGUGCUAUUGUACGGCAUCUAAGGGGUUUGCACUGUAGUCUUUUAAAAUAUUUUCCUGUAACAAGUGAUAAUAAUGCUUGGGUUAGAAUCCAUUUAUAGUAACUGUUAAACCAGCCUCAUUAGUAGCUCAGGACUACAAGAGCCUGAUUGAUUUAACAUCUGAUUUCCAAGUGAAACAAAAUUUCAGUGAACUGUGACUAAAUGAUUUUUGGAGUAGCCUAAUUCAAGAAUACCUAAACAUUGUAAGAAGUGCUGUUCCUAUACCUCUUUCUCUUACAACACCUGUGUGAGACAGAGUUUUCAUAUUGUGCUACAACAAAAACAAAAUAUAGGAAAAGACUUGAUGCUGCACCUCAUGUGGAUCUGACUUAGCAAUAUUAUACCUAAUACUAAACAAAUAUGUUAUUUAAAAAAGACACAAAAACACUGUUCUCAUUAAAAUUGGAGAAUUUUGCAUGUCUCUUGGUAAGGUAAGGUAAAAAUAAAAGAUGAUUUACUUCA